AGGUGGUCACAAAGCCCCGAGCCGCUCAACUCCUUAUUGGACAGCUUGCAGCCAGACACACACCUCGAAGUCAGCAUUGUUGAGAUGGAGCUUUAGAAAAACAUCACCCAGAACGUUCCAAGGAAACUUAACCUCAGAAGAAUCGUGUCUGCUCAUUCCUCCUCUCCCAACGUGGAUAAUUUAGAGCUCUCCAGAGGGAGCCCUGAUCGCACCGAAGUGCAGAGGAGGGCGAGCUGGCCGUGUCCCAAGCAGCUGUGGCUGCACCUGCGGCGGAUAGCAGAAGGACAGGGGCCAGGAAUGGAAGCUAGGGGCUCUGGAUUCUACUUCUAGUUCACUGGGACCCAACUCCGUCCUCUGGGGACAAAUUUCCUUACCAGGAACUAAGCUUUGUUCUUCUUUCCAGCUUGCAAAGUCUAUAAAUGUCAGACUGGGUGUGGCCAAUCAUUUCAGUUGGUUGGACUCAUGAUAGAGAAGGGGAUGUUUUCAUCUGUUGGAGGUGGGAGGACGUGCUCUUCAGGCCUUUCAGAUGCUGCUUACAGAAGGAUGGCUGAAGGACAUUAGCCCCUCCAGAUCUAGCCUCAGAGUGACACCUCUACACAUACAAGAUUUACCCGCCUAUUAAUGUGCUGCCCUCGUUGUCUCGGUGAAUGAAGUCUGCUACUGGAGAAGGUAUGACCAGAAAGGAUCACGCCGAUGUAUCUAACCAGCUGGAUGCAUGCUAUGCUAUUGGUAAGGAUGUGCAGGCCAUGAAAGCCGUAGUUGGAGAAGAAGCCCUUACCUCAGAUGAUGUGCUUUACUUGGAAUUUCUGCAGAAGUUUGAGAGGAACUUCAUUGCUCAGGGUCCUUACGAAAACCGCACUGUCUAUGAGACUUUGGACAUUGGCUGGCAACUGCUCCGACUCUUCCCCAAAGAAAUGCUGAAGAGAAUCCCUCAGAGCACCUUGAGCGAACUCUACCCUCGAGAGUCUGCAAAGCAUUAGCUGCUACU
Molecule: RNA transcript, 988 nt
Organism: Balaenoptera acutorostrata (minke whale)
Lineage: Eukaryota; Metazoa; Chordata; Mammalia; Artiodactyla; Balaenopteridae
Gene name: V-type proton ATPase subunit B, brain isoform-like
Exons: 6
Source: RefSeq, a predicted model, not a curated record